Molecule: long non-coding RNA, 523 nt
Organism: Cydia pomonella (codling moth)
Lineage: Eukaryota; Metazoa; Arthropoda; Insecta; Lepidoptera; Tortricidae
Exons: 3
Source: RefSeq, a predicted model, not a curated record
CAUAUAUUUUUUUAGGUUUUUCAUUCUGUUAUUUUACAAGUUAGUAAGGCGUACAUAGGCUACGGACACUGCUUACCAUCAGGCGGGCCGUAUGCUUGAUUGCCACCGACGUAGUAUAAAAAAAAAAAGUAGGUACCUACGUAGCGGUGGGGACGUCAAGUGAGCUACGCGCGCACAUCCCGACUAAGCUCUGCCCGAGAGUGCCCGAGAACGCCUGUCAAUGUAACGUCUGUGUGCGUAAAUGUCACGUCUUUGUGCGUGCGGCGAAAAUGGCACUUUGUACUGAGCGGACUCUCUGCUCGGGCUCACGCCGCCGCUGUUUACUGUGUGGUACCGAGUAAUAGCAUUUGUUCACUUCGCAAGUUGUCCAACAUUACCUGAGCAAUGCACCCGCAUGGCAUUGAGCGUCGGCGCUUCCCAUAACAAGCCUUGCACCACGCCAGCGGUACGGAACUCUUAAUGAGCAGAAUUUCCUCCAGAGACAGACCGAGAAAGAGAUGGCGGGACGACUUGGAUGCGUUGC